RNAcentral lists this non-coding RNA (30 nucleotides) under Macaca fascicularis (crab-eating macaque). The record is from RNAcentral. Lineage: Eukaryota; Metazoa; Chordata; Mammalia; Primates; Cercopithecidae. RNAcentral also lists the same sequence under 1 other name.
UAGUGCUGCCUUUUCCUGAGCAAUUGAUGU